Molecule: unclassified non-coding RNA, 304 nt
Filed under: Hevea brasiliensis (rubber tree)
Lineage: Eukaryota; Viridiplantae; Streptophyta; Magnoliopsida; Malpighiales; Euphorbiaceae
Source: RNAcentral
UUUUUUCCUUCUUUUUAGACUUUAGAGAGACAUUGCAAAUUACAAGUAAUAGAAAAUAGCGAGAAAUUAAGAAUUUUAAGAGUAGAUUACAGAAUUAUGGUUUGGAAAAUGAAGUCCACAACCGUUGCCUUUUCUUAGUUUGGAAGCAAACUGAACAAGAAGACGAGGGAGGACUGACUGAGGAAGGAGGGACCUUAGCGUACAAGCUCAACUUUUAGGAGAGGGAGUUGGCAUCCACGCGCCAGUAAAGCGUCAAGAGCUUUGUCGUUUUGCUGGUUCCGCAUCAGAUUUUUUAUGUUUUAAC